UGCGGUCUGCGCCUCUCGACAGGAUAUCAAUAUUCCCAGGGGCCAUACUCGAUCUUAAGGGAGCUGUCCCUGUUCCGGCCCGUGGGCUGGGGCACACGGCGCCCACCUACUCUGUAGGCACCCGGGAUCGAACCAUCCACCGGCUGUCGUGGAUCGCGC
RNAcentral lists this non-coding RNA (159 nucleotides) under Rhizobiaceae bacterium. RNAcentral describes it as "6S RNA". It matches the Rfam family "6S / SsrS RNA". Rfam says of the family: E. coli 6S RNA was the first non coding RNA to be sequenced, but its function was unknown until recently. It consists of 184 nucleotides that fold into an extended hairpin structure with a large single-stranded internal bulge. The 6S RNA specifically associates with RNA polymerase holoenzyme containing the sigma70 specificity factor. The record is from RNAcentral. Lineage: Bacteria; Pseudomonadati; Pseudomonadota; Alphaproteobacteria; Hyphomicrobiales; Rhizobiaceae.